ACGGAAGGCAGCAGUGGGGAAUAUUGCACAAUGGGGGAAACCCUGAUGCAGCAACGCCGCGUGAAGGAUGAAGGUCUUUGGAUCGUAAACUUCUGUCCUUGGGGAAGAAAAAGAUGACGGUACCCUUGGAGGAAGCCCCGGCUAACUCCGUGCCAGCAGCCGCGGUAAUACGGAGGGGGCAAGCGUUAUCCGGAAUUAUUGGGCGUAAAGGGUGCGUAGGCGGUUUGCUAAGCGCGAGGUUUAAGGCACUGGCUUAACCAGUGUUCGCCUUGCGAACUGGCAGACUUGAGUGCAGGAGAGGAAAGCGGAAUUCCUAGUGUAGCGGUGAAAUGCGUAGAUAUUAGGAGGAACACCGGUGGCGAAGGCGGCUUUCUGGACUGUAACUGACGCUGAGGCACGAAAGCGUGGGGAGCAAACAGGAUUAGAUACCCUGGUA
This 436-nucleotide ribosomal RNA is filed under the name uncultured Anaerovorax sp. Its description in RNAcentral is "bacterial SSU rRNA". It matches the Rfam family "Bacterial small subunit ribosomal RNA", at positions 341 to 792 of the family's 1533-position model. Lineage: Bacteria; Bacillati; Bacillota; Clostridia; Peptostreptococcales; Anaerovoracaceae. The record is from RNAcentral.